Molecule: ribosomal RNA, 465 nt
Filed under: Vreelandella stevensii
Lineage: Bacteria; Pseudomonadati; Pseudomonadota; Gammaproteobacteria; Oceanospirillales; Halomonadaceae
Description: partial 16S ribosomal RNA
Rfam family: Bacterial small subunit ribosomal RNA
Source: RNAcentral
CCUACGGGGUGCUGCAGUGGGGAAUAUUGGACAAUGGGCGAAAGCCUGAUCCAGCCAUGCCGCGUGUGUGAAGAAGGCCUUCGGGUUGUAAAGCACUUUCAGUGGGGAAGAAAGCCUUGGGGCUAAUACCCUCGAGGAAGGACAUCACCCACAGAAGAAGCACCGGCUAACUCCGUGCCAGCAGCCGCGGUAAUACGGAGGGUGCGAGCGUUAAUCGGAAUUACUGGGCGUAAAGCGCGCGUAGGCGGUCUGAUAAGCCGGUUGGGAAAGCCCCGGGCUCAACCUGGGAACGGCAUCCGGAACUGUCAGGCUAGAGUGCAGGAGAGGAAGGUAGAAUUCCCGGUGUAGCGGUGAAAUGCGUAGAGAUCGGGAGGAAUACCAGUGGCGAAGGCGGCCUUCUGGACUGACACUGACGCUGAGGUGCGAAAGCGUGGGUAGCAAACAGGAUUAGAUACCCGGGUAGUC